GACGAACCGUGCGAACGUUGUUCGGAAUCACUGGGCUUAAAGGGCGCGUAGGCGGGUUCGCAAGUCUGUGGUGAAAGCCUCCAGCUUAACUGGAGAAGUGCCGUGGAUACUGCGAAUCUUGAGGAGGGUAGGGGCGUCUGGAACGGUCGGUGGAGCGGUGAAAUGCGUUGAUAUCGAGAGGAACACCGGUGGCGAAGGCGAGUCCCUGGUCCGCUUCUGACGCUGAGGCGCGAAAGCGUGGGUAGCAAACAGG
This 253-nucleotide ribosomal RNA is filed under the name uncultured bacterium. RNAcentral's name for it is "partial 16S ribosomal RNA". It matches the Rfam family "Bacterial small subunit ribosomal RNA", at positions 524 to 776 of the family's 1533-position model. The record is from RNAcentral.